Molecule: ribosomal RNA, 2906 nt
Filed under: Klebsiella oxytoca
Lineage: Bacteria; Pseudomonadati; Pseudomonadota; Gammaproteobacteria; Enterobacterales; Enterobacteriaceae
Description: 23S ribosomal RNA
Rfam family: Bacterial large subunit ribosomal RNA
Source: RNAcentral
GGUUAAGCGACUAAGCGUACACGGUGGAUGCCCUGGCAGUCAGAGGCGAUGAAGGACGUGCUAAUCUGCGAAAAGCGUCGGUAAGGUGAUAUGAACCGUUAUAGCCGGCGAUGUCCGAAUGGGGAAACCCAGUGCAAUUCGUUGCACUAUCGUUAACUGAAUACAUAGGUUAACGAGGCGAACCGGGGGAACUGAAACAUCUAAGUACCCCGAGGAAAAGAAAUCAACCGAGAUUCCCCCAGUAGCGGCGAGCGAACGGGGAGCAGCCCGGAGUCUGAAUCAGCUUGUGUGUUAGUGGAAGCGUCUGGAAAGUCGCAGGGUACAGGGUGAUACUCCCGUACACUAAAACAUACAGGCUGUGAACUCGAAGAGUAGGGCGGGACACGUGGUAUCCUGUCUGAAUAUGGGGGGACCAUCCUCCAAGGCUAAAUACUCCUGACUGACCGAUAGUGAACCAGUACCGUGAGGGAAAGGCGAAAAGAACCCCGGCGAGGGGAGUGAAAAAGAACCUGAAACCGUGUACGUACAAGCAGUAGGAGCCCACUUGUUGGGUGACUGCGUACCUUUUGUAUAAUGGGUCAGCGACUUAUAUUCUGUAGCAAGGUUAACCGUAUAGGGGAGCCGCAGGGAAACCGAGUCUUAACUGGGCGUUAAGUUGCAGGGUAUAGACCCGAAACCCGGUGAUCUAGCCAUGGGCAGGUUGAAGGUUGGGUAACACUAACUGGAGGACCGAACCGACUAAUGUUGAAAAAUUAGCGGAUGACUUGUGGCUGGGGGUGAAAGGCCAAUCAAACCGGGAGAUAGCUGGUUCUCCCCGAAAGCUAUUUAGGUAGCGCCUCGUGAAUUCAUCUUCGGGGGUAGAGCACUGUUUCGGCUAGGGGGUCAUCCCGACUUACCAACCCGAUGCAAACUACGAAUACCGAAGAAUGUUAUCACGGGAGACACACGGCGGGUGCUAACGUCCGUCGUGAAGAGGGAAACAACCCAGACCGCCAGCUAAGGUCCCAAAGUCAUGGUUAAGUGGGAAACGAUGUGGGAAGGCCCAGACAGCCAGGAUGUUGGCUUAGAAGCAGCCAUCAUUUAAAGAAAGCGUAAUAGCUCACUGGUCGAGUCGGCCUGCGCGGAAGAUGUAACGGGGCUAAACCAUGCACCGAAGCUGCGGCAGCGACACUAUGUGUUGUUGGGUAGGGGAGCGUUCUGUAAGCCGUUGAAGGUGGCCUGUGAGGGUUGCUGGAGGUAUCAGAAGUGCGAAUGCUGACAUAAGUAACGAUAAUGCGGGUGAAAAACCCGCACGCCGGAAGACCAAGGGUUCCUGUCCAACGUUAAUCGGGGCAGGGUGAGUCGACCCCUAAGGCGAGGCCGAAAGGCGUAGUCGAUGGGAAACAGGUUAAUAUUCCUGUACUUGGUGUUACUGCGAAGGGGGGACGGAGAAGGCUAUGUUGGCCGGGCGACGGUUGUCCCGGUUUAAGCAUGUAGGCGGAUGUUCCAGGUAAAUCCGGAACGUCACUAACGCUGAGGUGUGAUGACGAGGCACUACGGUGCUGAAGUGACAAAUGCCCUGCUUCCAGGAAAAGCCUCUAAGCAUCAGGUAACAUCAAAUCGUACCCCAAACCGACACAGGUGGUCAGGUAGAGAAUACCAAGGCGCUUGAGAGAACUCGGGUGAAGGAACUAGGCAAAAUGGUGCCGUAACUUCGGGAGAAGGCACGCUGAUGGUAAGUGAAGUGACUUGCUCAUGGAGCUGAAAUCAGUCGAAGAUACCAGCUGGCUGCAACUGUUUAUUAAAAACACAGCACUGUGCAAACACGAAAGUGGACGUAUACGGUGUGACGCCUGCCCGGUGCCGGAAGGUUAAUUGAUGGGGUUAUCCUCGCGGAGAAGCUCUUGAUCGAAGCCCCGGUAAACGGCGGCCGUAACUAUAACGGUCCUAAGGUAGCGAAAUUCCUUGUCGGGUAAGUUCCGACCUGCACGAAUGGCGUAAUGAUGGCCAGGCUGUCUCCACCCGAGACUCAGUGAAAUUGAACUCGCUGUGAAGAUGCAGUGUACCCGCGGCAAGACGGAAAGACCCCGUGAACCUUUACUAUAGCUUGACACUGAACACUGGUCCUUGAUGUGUAGGAUAGGUGGGAGGCUUUGAAGUGUGGACGCCAGUCUGCAUGGAGCCAUCCUUGAAAUACCACCCUUUAAUGGCUGGUGUUCUAACGUGGGCCCGUAAUCCGGGUUGCGGACAGUGUCUGGUGGGUAGUUUGACUGGGGCGGUCUCCUCCUAAAGAGUAACGGAGGAGCACGAAGGUCAGCUAAUCCUGGUCGGACAUCAGGAGGUUAGUGCAAUGGCAUAAGCUGGCUUGACUGCGAGCGUGACGGCGCGAGCAGGUGCGAAAGCAGGUCAUAGUGAUCCGGUGGUUCUGAAUGGAAGGGCCAUCGCUCAACGGAUAAAAGGUACUCCGGGGAUAACAGGCUGAUACCGCCCAAGAGUUCAUAUCGACGGCGGUGUUUGGCACCUCGAUGUCGGCUCAUCACAUCCUGGGGCUGAAGUAGGUCCCAAGGGUAUGGCUGUUCGCCAUUUAAAGUGGUACGCGAGCUGGGUUUAGAACGUCGUGAGACAGUUCGGUCCCUAUCUGCCGUGGGCGCUGGAGAAUUGAGGGGGGCUGCUCCUAGUACGAGAGGACCGGAGUGGACGCAUCACUGGUGUUCGGGUUGUCAUGCCAAUGGCAUUGCCCGGUAGCUAAAUGCGGAAGAGAUAAGUGCUGAAAGCAUCUAAGCACGAAACUUGCCCCGAGAUGAGUUCUCCCUGACUCCUUGAGAGUCCUGAAGGAACGUUGAAGACGACGACGUUGAUAGGCCGGGUGUGUAAGCGCAGCGAUGCGUUGAGCUAACCGGUACUAAUGAACCGUGAGGCUUAACCUU